CCUACGGGUGGCUUCAGUGGGGAAUAUUGGACAAUGGGCGAAAGCCUGAUCCAGCCAUGCCGCGUGUGUGAAGAAGGCCUUCGGGUUGUAAAGCACUUUCAGUGGGGAAGAAAGCCUUGGGGCUAAUACCCUCGAGGAAGGACAUCACCCACAGAAGAAGCACCGGCUAACUCCGUGCCAGCAGCCGCGGUAAUACGGAGGGUGCGAGCGUUAAUCGGAAUUACUGGGCGUAAAGCGCGCGUAGGCGGUCUGAUAAGCCGGUUGUGAAAGCCCCGGGCUCAACCUGGGAACGGCAUCCGGAACUGUCAGGCUAGAGUGCAGGAGAGGAAGGUAGAAUUCCCGGUGUAGCGGUGAAAUGCGUAGAGAUCGGGAGGAAUACCAGUGGCGAAGGCGGCCUUCUGGACUGACACUGACGCUGAGGUGCGAAAGCGUGGGUAGCAAACAGGAUUAGAUACCCCUGUAGUC
RNAcentral lists this ribosomal RNA (465 nucleotides) under Vreelandella stevensii. RNAcentral's name for it is "partial 16S ribosomal RNA". It matches the Rfam family "Bacterial small subunit ribosomal RNA", at positions 338 to 795 of the family's 1533-position model. The record is from RNAcentral. Lineage: Bacteria; Pseudomonadati; Pseudomonadota; Gammaproteobacteria; Oceanospirillales; Halomonadaceae.